CUUUUUUUUUUUUUUUUUUUUUUUUUUUGCUUUUAAGGGCCGCACUUGCAGCAUAUGGAGGUUCCCAGGGGUCUAAUCAGAGCUACAGCCACCGGCCUACGCCAGAGCCACAGCAACGCGGGAUCCGAGCCACGUCUGCAACCUACACCACAGCUCGUGGCAACGCCAGAUCCUUAACCCACUGAGCAAGGCCAGGGAUCAAACCUGCAACCUCAAGGUUCCUAGUCGGAUUUGUUUCCACUGCGCCACAAUGGGAACUCCACAAAGAUGAUUUUCAUUUUGUAUAUAUGGCUAGGAGGAGCAGAAAGGAUAAAGAAGAUUAGGAAGAAGGGAAAAGGAGGAGGAAGAGAUAGGUGGAAGGAAGAGGAGCAGAGAGGAGGGAAGAAGAUGAGGAAGGAGGAGGAGAGAGGAGGAGAAAGGAGGAGCAGAAAAAUUUUAUUAAUCAUUAGGGAGCAGUAUAUUAUAUCCUAUCCAUUCCAUGGAAUUUUCACAGUUUUAAAAUACAGCUAUGAUGACUGUCAAUUUGCCAAAAGGUUUAAAACAUAAUAUGCAGCAUAAAAAGCAGACCAGUUACAUGCAUACAAUGCUUAUAACUAUGUAAAAAGAUAUAUGCUUGUGAGCAUUACUUGGAGGAUAACAUGCAAAAAAAAUUGUUUUAGAUCAUGGGAUUAAGAGUGGAAAGUUAUUCUUUUUUUCCUUUUCCAAAAUGCUUUACUGCUGUUAUAUUGUUUUUGCUAUAAAAUAAAGUGAGGAAAUGGAUCAUUAUAAUUAAUAAACAUGGCUGUGAACCGAAGAUUUAUCUGAGAAUGAUGUUUCAGCUAAAAAAAUUAAUCCUUCAUCAUUCGUUAUUUUAAGCAUGGAUCUUCCCACCCCCGUAUACGAUUUAGUGGCAAGGUAAGGGAGCAUAAGGAAAAGAAAAACAGCCAUAAAAUAUGGGCAGACUCAACUGAGGAAAAGAAGCUGCCAAAAGAGGCUUAAGUGUGCAUCUUAAGAGUACCAGACUGUGAAGCUGGGAAAACAGCAUCCGCUUCUAAGUCUCCCAUGAAAAUGCAAUCAGAAUUGGAAGAUAAGGUGUGUGGAAUAUAAACUAAAAUACAUAAGCAUCUUCCUUAAAGUGGUAGACUUUUCUUUUUGUGUGCCAUUUUUCAAUGAAUGGAUCCCCCAAAUGAUUAAAACCUAAAAUUAGCAUUGUCUAUUUUUCAGCUAACUCCUGCACAGAUUAGGAAUGCAGCAUAGGCUGGAAUUUUGCACCUAGGGCAGAAGGUCUAUUCUUGCCCAAAUACUAUGCAUAGGCUACACUUGAAAAAGGCUUUAUUUAAUGGCCCUUUCUUUUCUGGCUAUUACUAUUCUUAGCAUAAUUCCUCUGGGUUCACUGGGGAUAAGCGCCUCUAGAAGGAAAAAAAAAAAAAAAAAAAAAGGCUGAGACUAGAGGCAAGUGAUUUUUCACCUGGAAUACACUACAAGGAUAGAGAGAGUAGGGUAAUUAUCUUUAGCAAUGAAAUUCUCUUUUGAUAAAGGUGUGGGGGAGGGGCAAUGUGAAGGAAUAAAUAGGUCAGUUCAUUUAUUUCAGCUUCCCUAAGUCAGCAGCCCUUUGACUGUUCUAACACAGGAAUGGGAGCCCUGACAACUCAUGGGUCAGCAGAGCAUAUGUUGUUCAAAUAAAAUCUAUCAAUGCAUUGAGAUAUGGCUAGUCUUCAAAAACCUGUCAUUCCUACAAAAGUGUAACCAGCUCAGCUCCCACCCCUUGGCUGCACUACAUCUCAUUUUAUAUAUAUNAUGCGGGAUUUGAGCCAUGGCUUUGACCCACACCACAGCUCACGGCAACGCUGGAUCCUUAACCCACUGAGCAAGGCCAGGGAUCAAACCUGUGCCCUCAUGGAUACUAGUCAGAUUCGUCUCCACUGAGCCACAGUGGGAACUCCUGCACUACAUCUCAGUAUCUGCAUUUCACUGACCACUUUUCUUCAGAGCUGGUAUUUGGAACCUGUAAUCCUUUAUAAAAUUGCUCAUCUCCUUGAGCCACAAAUAUUUUUCAAGCACCAGCUGAAAUUAGGGACUAGAGACUAUUAAAAUUGCAAGCUUCCUACUGAGCUACAGCCACUGGUCUAGACUGUAACAGUGUCAGAAUGGGGUCAGGGAGGCCUUUGCACCUGUUCCCUCAUUGCCUGUUGCAUCCAGAUCCCUAAUAUACACACUCUCUUCUCCUCCCUUCCUCUAUCUCCAUUCCCCAACACCAAACACACUCAAACAUACUCUCCUGUGAUCUUACGCUUCUGAGAAAAGCCAUUCCUUCCUUCAAAAUUAUUUGGGAACCCCUAAGACAGAAUAAAAACUACUACAGAGAAACUAUAGACAGAUACUUCCAUGGAUCAAGAGAAGAUAAUAUAUUCAUUGGUAGAUUCAAUGAAAUCCUAAAGAUUAUUGCCAACUGAAAUUCCAAGCAAUUUGGAAUGGGGCCCUUUGAAUAUGAAUUUAUUUAACAGUGAAUUGUGAAGUUGGCAGAAGGGUGAGAGGGCAGGAGCUGAGUUAUAUUAAAUGCACACCUACACCCUCUCAGACAAUCAAACAGGCUGAAGGAGAAUUAAGAUAGUCAUAGAAAAUACAAGAAUAAAAAGUAAGGAACAACAAGUAUUGAAAUGACAACUUAUUCAAGUCAUAGGUAGGAAGUUAUGUGCUCAGAUAACAAACCAAAAAGAGAAAGUAAAGAGAUCUAUUAGAAAGUUAGCCUUCUAUCUCAUAUUUCAACGAAGAAAAAAAAAAGGCCUCUGUAUAGGAGUUCUAUACUCAACGACCCAUGAAUUAAUAUUUUUCACUCUGAGGUGGUUACAGAGAUUCUUUGUUUUGCAGAGUAUUAUGGCACAGUCAAAUGCACAUGGUCUUAGAAUGAAAUCCAUGUUCUUAUUAAUAAAGUGGUUUUCAACCAUGCUGCAUAUUAGAAAUCACCCAGGAGGUUUUCCAACUCUGCCUUCCUGGGCCCCACCCCCAGGUGUUCCAAUUCAUCAGGAGGGGAGUGAAGAGCUAGGUACUUUUUUAUACCCCCUGCGUGAUCCUAACGAACAAGAUGUUAAGAGCAGAUUUCUCAAAGCGUGCUCCCUGUCCCAACAACAUCAGCAUCACCUAGGAACUUCUUAGAAAUGCAAAUUCUGUAGCCCCACUCCAGACUCAAUGAUUCAGAAAAUCUGAGGGUGGAAGCCAGUAAACUUUUACCAAGUCCUCCCAGGGGUUCUCAUGCAUGCUAAAGUUGGAGAAUGGCUGCCACAGAAAAAUGGUUCUCAAACUUUGGUUUGUAUAAGGAUAACUUGGAGAGAUAAAAUGCAAAUCUGAUUCAGUAAUUUCGAGGUGAGGCCUGAGAUUCAGCAUUCCCAACAUGUUAUCAGUUAUUAAAAUUAUGAGUAGCAAGGUCAUAUAAAUAGACUGUACCACUUUGAUGAAAAAUGGGCAGCAAACUUCAUAUAAACGCAGAUUUCCUGGUCCAAAAAUUCUGGAGUUAGCAUAUGGGAAGUAAGACCCAGAAUUUUAACAAUGCGCAUUUUAACAAGAAGCUGAGGUAAUAUUCUCAGUCUCCUGCCAUCAAUUAUCACUUUCUUUGAUUAAAUGUAUUAAGUACAAUCCUCACUGGUUGCCCAUCC
RNAcentral lists this long non-coding RNA (3629 nucleotides) under Sus scrofa (pig). Its description in RNAcentral is "lncRNA (ENSSSCG00050069418.1)". The record is from RNAcentral. Lineage: Eukaryota; Metazoa; Chordata; Mammalia; Artiodactyla; Suidae.